This 386-nucleotide ribosomal RNA is filed under the name uncultured bacterium. RNAcentral's name for it is "bacterial SSU rRNA". It matches the Rfam family "Bacterial small subunit ribosomal RNA", at positions 29 to 416 of the family's 1533-position model. The record is from RNAcentral.
AUUGAACGCUGGCGGCAUGCCUUACACAUGCAAGUCGAACGGCAGCACGGGAGCAAUCCUGGUGGCGAGUGGCGAACGGGUGAGUAAUAUAUCGGAACGUGCCCGGUCGUGGGGAUAACGUAGCGAAAGCUACGCUAAUACCGCAUACGAUCUACGGAUGAAAGCGGGGGAUCGCAAGACCUCGCGCGAUUGGAGCGGCCGAUAUCAGAUUAGGUAGUUGGUGAGGUAAAGGCUCACCAAGCCGACGAUCUGUAGCUGGUCUGAGAGGACGACCAGCCACACUGGGACUGAGACACGGCCCAGACUCCCUACGGGAGGCAGCAGUGGGGAAUUUUGGACAAUGGGCGCAAGCCUGAUCCAGCAAUGCCGCGUGCAGGAUGAAGGCC